This 253-nucleotide ribosomal RNA is filed under the name uncultured bacterium. RNAcentral's name for it is "partial 16S ribosomal RNA". It matches the Rfam family "Bacterial small subunit ribosomal RNA", at positions 524 to 776 of the family's 1533-position model. The record is from RNAcentral.
UACAGAGGUCUCAAGCGUUGUUCGGAUUCAUUGGGCGUAAAGGGUGCGUAGGCUGUGAGGUAAGUCUGGUGUGAAAUCCCGGGGCUCAACCCCGGAACUGCACUGGAUACUGCUUUACUAGAGCACUGGAGAGGGAACUGGAAUUUACGGUGUAGCAGUGAAAUGCGUAGAUAUCGCUUGGAACGCCAACGGUGAAAACAGGUUGCUGGGGUUGUGCCGACGCUGAGACACGAAAGCCAGGGGAGCAAACGGG